This is a small nuclear RNA of Lemur catta (Ring-tailed lemur), 110 nucleotides long. The record is from RefSeq and is a predicted model, not a curated record. NCBI's taxonomy places the organism in Eukaryota, Metazoa, Chordata, Mammalia, Primates, Lemuridae.
GCUUGCUUUGGCAGGCUAUAUACUAAAAUUGAAUCAAUACAGAAAAAAUCAUCUUGUGCAUGACUGUGCAAAAGGAUAACACACAAAUUCAUAAAAUGUUCCAUAUUUUA